RNAcentral lists this non-coding RNA (30 nucleotides) under Rattus norvegicus (Norway rat). Lineage: Eukaryota; Metazoa; Chordata; Mammalia; Rodentia; Muridae. The record is from RNAcentral.
CUCUAAGCCUCAGUUUCUUUGUCUGUGAGA